RNAcentral lists this long non-coding RNA (3318 nucleotides) under Triticum aestivum (bread wheat). Its description in RNAcentral is "long non-coding RNA (TAES_LNC004356)". The record is from RNAcentral. Lineage: Eukaryota; Viridiplantae; Streptophyta; Magnoliopsida; Poales; Poaceae.
UUUUCUACAACAAUGUUCUGAACUUCUCUCAUUUUACGACUUGUACUUUUACCAUUUAAAUUUCCAUGAGGUUUCUUUUUUUGCUUGAACUUUUACAAUUUGAAUUUUUGCUAUUUCUUUUAUUCCGAACGGACCACCGUUUUAACUCGUACUGAUCAAUAUUUUUAAUUCAAACCAUUUGUCCUUUCAUCAUCUGACAGAAAUUGUUUCCACACAUAUAAUACAUGUACAUAAAUCAUAUUAUCCAUAGCACAAAAAUCAUCGGCCUAUUCUUGUACAGAACUUUUCAAGCACCCACAUGAAUACAUGUACUGCCUGUACCAAAUGUAACAUUGGCAGAGCUACUAGUCUAGCUACACGCUAUAGGAGCAGCCGAUCAUGCUCCUUUUUUUGGCCCAUCUUCCUGUUCAAAAAAAUGAAAACAUCAAUCAAUUAAAUAGGUUGCACCUAGGUCGUGUGUGUGCACUGUGUAGAACAGCCAGCCGUUACAGACUACAACUUAUAGUCUACUGACUAACAGCUCUUGUACACUAAGACAUGGAAAAAAUGCAGCAAAUGACUUGAUCAAUGAUAGUACUCCCUCUGUCCCAUAAUGUAAGACAUUUUUUGACUGUAGUGUAGCGUCAAAAAAAGUCUUACAUUAUUGGACGGAGGGAGUAAUAUAUAAUGGCAUAUCACUGGAAUUUGGACAUCAUGAACACUGAAUAUUUGCUUCUCCACAACAGCCUCAUUACUGAUUGAGAAUCCCCUACUUGGGGUAGUGAACCUUUUUGCCGAACAGCUACAGUUUUAAAAAUUGUACCACCAAACCUUAUAAAGAAAUAGGAAAUGAACUGCCGAAUCCAGCCAAACAUGAACUCCCCUUUAAAAGUAAUAUAGUACAUCCUCGAUAUUUCUGAAAAUUAAAGUUGAUGAACUAAGCUAAAGAUGAACUGAAACUUAAUCAAAAGUUGAACUCCUAUAGGGUUCAAGGUCAAAAGAACCUCCACAUCCAUCAAACUUCAUAUCCUGGAGUUCAAUUUCUGUGAAAAUCAAACUUGUGUAUCACUUAGUACAUGUAUUACUACCCAGAGCAGCACCAGCCUGCAUCCCAGAGCCCAAGUUAUAGAUACAGCCUGGUGUAAGGCCAUUGUUUCAGCAUGCAUGGUAUCACUGACCUCACUAACCUCCUCAAGAUGAUGACCGUGUCCCACCACAACAGCUUACCGAUUAUUAAAAUAUCAGCAGAAUGUUACAUUGCCGAGAGGUUUAUGCUUCAAGGUCAAUAAACAUUUUCUUAACUAAAAGAAUGAGAAAAGAAACUAUAAAUGAGCUUCAUACUAUGAAAGAAUGAGCAUAAAAUUAUUCCCUCCGCUACAGACUAAAAGAGACAUCAGUACUAGAAUGACUCGAGAAGAACUUUAGAUUUGUAGCAGCACACACGAGAAACUUCCAGAAUUUUAUAGAAUCAAAACAAACUUCCAGAAUUUUUGAAAACUGAACUGACGAUUUUUCUGCACAUGCACCCAACAAAUUUCACUUCUACAACCAUAUGCAUAAGUACCAAAAAACAGUACGCUAAUAAACCAUUUUUUACGGCGGUGGCGGCUCACUCCGUGCAACGUCUCUGAACUUGGUGUAUGCCGGCGGUAGAACUUCCUGGCCUUCCAAACUUGUACUGAAGAUAUGUACCAAACAACAGUAUGCCUAAGUAUUCCGAAGACAUACAAGAGCCACACACAGCCGUGAGUUACCAAAAAACACAACAGCUUGUGCAUUUUUUAUGAAGCUUUUAUAUGCAUAACACAAUGACAUUUUUUGGCACUACUUCUGCAUUUUAGACAUGCUAUGCAAGAAAUAACCAGAGAAUUUGCUAUACUUAGCAAAGGUGAACUACUAACCAGAGAACAACAGAAUCUUUGUAUCGUUGUACGUUUCCUUUUUUAAUUUUAGAAUCUCUACACUUUGCACGCAAAGCAAUCUAACAAAUACACAAUUUAUGCGCUAGCCGCUAAUUUUUUUGAUUGACAAAGGAAGAUGGAGAUGAGAGAGCAAAAUUACUGCCAACAAGAGAGAUGUUCUGCCUUCUUCCCUCAGGUCUGAAUCAAUAGUAGUACAAGUUCAAUAAAAAAAUUAACUGAAAAUUCAAACGGGAGGCAUGGAGAUCUUCACCGCUGGGAGCCAAUGAGGAGCGAUUCGAGCAGUGUGUACCUGGACCGACACCGUAUGCAGUAGGCAGAGAGCCGAAGAUGGUGGUGUGGGCGCCGCAAGCACCGAAUCCAGCCCGUGGUUAAGUCUUUUCCUUCAUUGAUUUGCAAAAAGAAAGCCCCUUUCUUUUUCAUUUUCCCAUGUAAUAACACAAGGAAAAAAUAUCAGCAAACCACAAUGGUAAAGACCAAAGCUACAUGACAAUACAUUUUCUUCAGCUAGCUAGUACAUGCUACUGACUCCACCACUGUAGCGUCCAUGUAUCCUCCUUGCGUGGGCAACCAUUGGGGAGGAAAGGCUGCUGCCGCUCGACACGUUGAACCACCUGUAGGAAUCAAAGUGAACUGAAGGGAUUCAUACACAUCAAUGGACACAUGUACUACACAACAAUGCGCAUCUCUACUGUUCAUAACAACAAACUAACAAAAAAACAAUUUAUGAAGGAAAUAGUUCUUGAAAAUGGGUUGAGCUUAAAUUGUUUAGAUUUUUGAACUCCUGCAACAGUUAUACUUGAACUUGCGUGACACAUUUUUCUGAAAGCAUUUGGUGUUCAGAAUACGCUAUAUGAAAAGGGGAAGGGGGAACACACUGAGACACAUAGGAAAAAGUGAGAAAAUCAUGAACUAUUAGCUAGGAUAUUUGUGAUACUAGGCAGUGACAUACAUGUCAAACCUUUCGCACCAUGAAGUAGCAGCGAGGUUCUUCUAUCAGUGAGGAGGUGCAAAAGAAAUGCAACAAUACAUUGAAAAUUCCAAUAAAAGCAUUGAAAAAAAUUCGUACUAUUGGUCGUUUGCAAUGCACGAGCACAAUGAGAGAACUGAAUCAAAUAAAGUACCUUUCUUCCUGCACCUGUCUACUUGCAUUAUAUGUUGCACGAGCCCCACAUUGAACAGCUUGUUACCAUUGCUAGGAAUUUUCUAAAGUACACACCCGUUGCCAAGCAACGGAAGGGCGGCCAAGGUGUUGGUCUGAGUUGGAUUCCAUCGCCCUUGACCACACAGUGCAUUGGUGGUGGCCAUGCUUGCCUGUACUGCACAACAAACUAACCCAAACGAAAAUGAGAUGUGAUAGCUAAAGACCAUGAUGUGUCCUAGUAUCUCAAAAUUAGGGUCAAUUGAGGUACUUACUAAG